This 487-nucleotide ribosomal RNA is filed under the name Streptococcus sp. oral taxon 061. Its description in RNAcentral is "bacterial SSU rRNA". It matches the Rfam family "Bacterial small subunit ribosomal RNA", at positions 28 to 499 of the family's 1533-position model. Lineage: Bacteria; Bacillati; Bacillota; Bacilli; Lactobacillales; Streptococcaceae. The record is from RNAcentral.
GACGAACGCUGGCGGCGUGCCUAAUACAUGCAAGUAGAACGCUGAAGCUUGGUGCUUGCACCGAGCGGAUGAGUUGCGAACGGGUGAGUAACGCGUAGGUAACCUGCCUGGUAGCGGGGGAUAACUAUUGGAAACGAUAGCUAAUACCGCAUAACAGUAGAUAUCGCAUGAUAUGUGCUUGAAAGGUGCAAUUGCAUCACUACCAGAUGGACCUGCGUUGUAUUAGCUAGUUGGUGAGGUAACGGCUCACCAAGGCAACGAUACAUAGCCGACCUGAGAGGGUGAUCGGCCACACUGGGACUGAGACACGGCCCAGACUCCUACGGGAGGCAGCAGUAGGGAAUCUUCGGCAAUGGACGGAAGUCUGACCGAGCAACGCCGCGUGAGUGAAGAAGGUUUUCGGAUCGUAAAGCUCUGUUGUAAGAGAAGAACGAGUGUGAGAGUGGAAAGUUCACACUGUGACGGUAUCUUACCAGAAAGGCGGCUA